RNAcentral lists this transfer RNA (67 nucleotides) under Indonemoura jacobsoni. RNAcentral's name for it is "tRNA-His". Lineage: Eukaryota; Metazoa; Arthropoda; Insecta; Plecoptera; Nemouridae. The record is from RNAcentral.
AUUUAAGUAGUUUAAUAAAAAUUCUGAUUUGUGGUGUCAGUGAUACAGAUUUAAUUUGUCUUAGAUC